GACACGGGAUGCUUACGCCGCGGUGAGUAGGAGGGUCGCAGCGGCGAGCGUUGAAGGUGCCGGGCGCGAGCCCGCCUGGAGCCGCCGCUGGUGCAGAUCUUGGUGGUAGUAGCAAAUACUCAAGUGAGAACCUUGAGGACUGAGGUGGAGAAGGGUUCCAUGUGAACAGCAGUUGAACAUGGGUCAGUCGGUCCUAAGGGAUAGGAGAAAUCCGUUCCGAAGCGGGUGUUUUUUAAAACGUCGUGCCCGCCGGUCGACCGAAAGGGAAUCGGGUUAAUAUUCCCGAACCCGGACGCGGAGAUCGGCCUCUCGGGGCCAAGUGCGGCGACGCAACCGAACUCGGAGAUGUCGACGGGAGUCCCGGGAAGAGUUGUCUUUUCUUUGUAAGGGCUCGGCUCCCUGGAAUCGGCUCGUCCGGAGAUAGGGAUGCUGUUCCCGUAAAGCACCGCGGCUCUUGCGGUGUCCGGAGCGCUCCCGUCGGCCCUUGAAAAUCCGAGGGAG
RNAcentral lists this ribosomal RNA (501 nucleotides) under Acanthophrynus coronatus. RNAcentral describes it as "partial large subunit ribosomal RNA". It matches the Rfam family "Eukaryotic large subunit ribosomal RNA", at positions 1363 to 1821 of the family's 3401-position model. The record is from RNAcentral. Lineage: Eukaryota; Metazoa; Arthropoda; Arachnida; Amblypygi; Phrynidae.